This 264-nucleotide ribosomal RNA is filed under the name uncultured bacterium. Its description in RNAcentral is "partial 16S ribosomal RNA". It matches the Rfam family "Bacterial small subunit ribosomal RNA", at positions 90 to 354 of the family's 1533-position model. The record is from RNAcentral.
UUCGAGUGGCGGACGGGUGAGUAACGCGUGGGUAACCUGCCUUACACAGGGGGAUAACACCUGGAAACAGGUGCUAAUACCGCAUAAGCGCACAGGGCCGCAUGGCCCGGUGUGAAAAACUCCGGUGGUGUAAGAUGGACCCGCGUCUGAUUAGCUCGUUGGCGGGGUAGAGGCCCACCAAGGCGACGAUCAGUAGCCGGCCUGAGAGGGUGGACGGCCACAUUGGGACUGAGACACGGCCCAAACUCCUACGGAAGGCAGCAG